RNAcentral lists this ribosomal RNA (120 nucleotides) under uncultured bacterium. Its description in RNAcentral is "partial 16S ribosomal RNA". It matches the Rfam family "Bacterial small subunit ribosomal RNA", at positions 215 to 334 of the family's 1533-position model. The record is from RNAcentral.
ACGCUUCGAGAGGGGCCCGCGUUCGAUUAGCUAGUUGGUGGGGUAACGGCUUACCAAGGCGACGAUCGAUAGCUGGUCUAAGAGGAUGAUCAGCCAGACUGGGACUGCGACACGGCCCAG